This 2689-nucleotide long non-coding RNA is filed under the name Marmota monax (woodchuck). Lineage: Eukaryota; Metazoa; Chordata; Mammalia; Rodentia; Sciuridae. The record is from RNAcentral.
UAUGUAUCAAGCAUGCUCCAAACUAUGUGUAGUUUAUCUUUGCAUUGCUGAACACAGUAUCUUGCAUAUAGGUACCAGUCCACAAAUAUUUUUUAAUUAAUAGAUAAAUUACUGUGAGGUUUUUUGUUGUUUUUAGUUAUACACAACAAUAGAAUAUAUUUUGAUGUAUUUACACAAACAUGGAAUGCCUCUUAUUCUAAUUAGAAUCCCAGUCUUGUGGUGAUACAUUAUGUAAAUAUUAACUGUGGUGUAUUCGUAUAUGUACAUAGGAAAGUUAUGUCUGAUUGAGUCCACCAUCUUUAACUGUAAAGAACUGAAAUCUUCUUUACUGGCUUGGAUCUACAGCUUUUGACAUAGUCAGAGCUUAAAGCCCAUUUUUUUUUUUUUUUAAGAUUCGGUUGCUCAGGCAACAAGAUUUUUCCAUGCCUGCUUGCCUCCUGUUGCCAAGGCAACCCAGGGUAUAGUUGGCAAGCUGGUUUGAGACAUCAGAUGUUUGCAGUACCAGAGAUGCCUGUGGUUCACAACUUCUUUGAUAAAUUGGUGAUGCAUAUUUGUGUUUGAGAGUAUGCUUCUGUCUCUAAUCUCUGUAUAUAGAGAUGAUUAUGGUCUUUGUGAUCAUAAGGCAUCAAAGAUGCGACCUGAAAGACCCCUGUGCCAUCCUAGAACCUGUGAUUAUUCCCACCUUUAACAGAUGUCUUGCUUAUUUUUACUUGUGGCUAUUUUCUCCUCAGCCCUUUUUCAUAAUCUGAAUCUAGUUUUCCUUUGAUGAAAUGGAUUCUUCUUGAUCAUGACUUGCUAGAAUCAACCUGGCUUAGCUGCCAAUAUCAUAGUCCAGCCGUCUUCCAAGCAAAACAAAACAAAUAAAAUGGAAACAAAACAAUGCCCCACUUGAUUCCUUUCCUGCAACAGUUCUACACUCUGCUGGCAUAUUGCUCAUCUGUGUCUGGCUGUCACUGCAAUAUGAGUGCAGGGCACAGGAGCAUCAUACGCUUCCUGGUCCUGAUAGAAGCUCUAUUAACUUUAUAGAUAGAUGACGGCCCUUAUUGAAUAUGAGAGCUCAACCCUACCUAAUGUCACUUAUUAACACAAGACAUGCUUAUGAAUGUCACUGCCCAGAAGAGACUUUCAGCUGUAAAAUCCUAGUUAGCUCCUCUGGUGUAGUUGCUAGAGCCUCGGAAGGCAUAUUCUUAAUAUUGUAAGCCAAGCUUCUCAUUUUAAAAGGUUAAAACUUUUUAAAUUAUUGUCAACAUCAAACAGUGUUGACUACUUUUCACAAUUUAAUUAUGUGAUACACUAAAAUCCAUGUGAAAAUAUUUUCUUCAUUCAGAGAUAUAUUUAAAGAAAUUCUUAUGGGAGAGACAAGUCUAGAGCUUUAUUUCCUUCAUAGCCAGGACUUUGGUGACAAAAUAAUUGGCCCAAUAAUUCAUGCUCUGUUUGAAUUAAUUCAGUGAAUAGUCUAUCGAAAAUUAAAAACAAAAAAAAACAACAACGACAACUCAUGUCUGUGUUCUCCACCUUACCCAUUAGUGAUUUGGGGUGGAAGUUGUAGGCUUAUGCUCAUUUUUGACAUCUCCAGGUUCUCUUUUGACUUAUGAAUUCUGACAAGGUCACAGCAGAUCUGAAGAGUCCUGCAGGUGAUGGACUUUUGGAAUCCUUUCAACCUCCGAGGCCCUGAAAUCCUUUGGUCAGUCUGAAGUGCUACUGGCUAGCACUCAUGUUAAAAACUUUCAGAGGUCACAUUCUUCAAUAUGUUUGGGCCUUUUCACCAAAAAAAAUGUCUGGAAUGUUUCCUUUGUGUUUUCCAGCUUGAGCUAUUAUGGGAACGCCAUCCUCUGUGGCCAUAAUGUUCCAGUGGACAUAAACACUCCACAUGCUUCCAAUCUAGAGAGAGGCCGACUUCCCUCAGGCUCUGCAUAAUUUCAGUCAUUUGUCCAUCUGUGGGCAAAAACAAUUGCACAGUAGAAGCUGUCACCACUGAUCACAAUGAAUCCGUUCUGUUUUGAAGUUUCAGAUGACUAUUUUCUUAUGGUUAAUGAUAUAGUUUCCAGAGAAAUCAAUGUAUUUUUUUCCGGUUAUACCUAAUAAUCUCUUAAGUUCUAAGACUAUGGAGAUUGGUUCUUUUUGCCAUCCCCUCUCUAGUGUCUAGCACAGUGCCUACUUGGAGUAGGAAGUCAAUAACUAUUUAGUGAAUAUUCGAAUAAAUGAGUAAAUGUGUGAUAUUUCUUUAUAAACAUUCACCAAAGUUAAUUAAGGAGGAAUUUAGAAUUAUAUAAAGGAGUAACAAGGGUGAUACAACCUGGUGUUGCCAGGAGGGCCUCGUUCACAUAUCCUACUAUGUAUUAUAUUUUUCAAUAUGUGCAAGUAUAUGAAAUAUUGAAUUCUUCAGGACAACAACAAUAGUCAUCUAACUCAGUAUGUGAGUGGUUACCAGCUUUUCAGGAACACCCAUAAACUUGGAUAAAAGUUCUCCAUAAGUUGGAUUUUUUAUUCACCUUUUAAGAUGAUGAGGCCUGUUUUGGGCUACUACUGUAGGGUUAGCAACUAUAUGGCCUGACUGUAAUGUGUAUAUAAGGACUUCAUUCUACGGAAGCAUCAGUGUUAAAUAUGGAGAGUGCUGGGCACCUGUGACUGACUCUUGAACAGUUGAAAUGUGGCUGGCAUAACCAAGGAACUAAAUUUUCUAGUUUCA